Non-coding RNA from Callorhinus ursinus (northern fur seal), 101 nucleotides. The record is from RefSeq and is a predicted model, not a curated record. NCBI's taxonomy places the organism in Eukaryota, Metazoa, Chordata, Mammalia, Carnivora, Otariidae.
AGCCAUUUCUCACUAAAGGUGCAUAGGAUCUAGAAUAGCAACAAAAGAGUCCAAAAACUGACUCCGCCACUUCAUAGCUCUUAACUGCUCUUGGACUUAGC